CCUACGGGAGGCAGCAGUGGGGGAUAUUGCACAAUGGGGGAAACCCUGAUGCAGCGACGCCGCGUGAGUGAAGAAGUCUUUCGGUUUGUAAAGCUCUAUAAGCGGGGCAGAAAAUGACAGUACCUGACCAAGAAGCCCCGGCUAACUCCGUGCCAGCAGCCGCGGUAAUACGUAGGGGGCACGCGUUAUCCGGAUUUACUGGGUGUAAAGGGAGCGUAGACGGGUAGGUAAGUCUGGAGUGAAAGCCCGGGGCUCAACCCCGGUACUGCUUUGGAAACUGUGUAGCUGGAGUGCGGGAGGGGUAGGCGGAAUUCCUGGUGUAGCGGUGAAAUGCGUAGAUAUCAGGAGGAACACCGGCGGCGAAGGCGGCUUGCUGGACCAAAACUGACGUUGAGGAACGAAAGCGUGGGGAGCAAACAGGAUUAGAUACCCUUGUAGUC
Molecule: ribosomal RNA, 440 nt
Filed under: uncultured bacterium
Lineage: Bacteria
Description: partial 16S ribosomal RNA
Rfam family: Bacterial small subunit ribosomal RNA
Source: RNAcentral